GGGGGGGGGGGGUCUCUCUGGUGGGUGGAAGAUUAAUGGGGACACUGGGAGCCCUGGAAAAUUAUGAUUCUGGGGUCUUGGGAGUGUCUCAGCAAAGUAGAUUGGAUUCUGGGGUUGUCUUAGAGCAUGGAUCUUUCUGGCGCCCUGGAGGUUCCUCAGAGGUGUGGAUACCUCCAGAUGAGUGGGGGUUGCUCUGGAAGAUAAGGGGUCUCUGGAUCAUUACAAAGUUUGGAAGUCGGAGCGGUGAGAUACUUCUGGAAUCUUGGGGUAUCUCUCUGAUAGAUGGGUUGAGAGAGGGACCUGGAGCCCUGGAGUUCACUAAAAGAUUGGGAAUUUCUGUAGCCCUAGAGCUGACAAUGGAAGUUCAUAUUUUCUGGAAUCUUCCCCUAAGAGGGUUGGGGGUCUUGAGGCUCAUGAAGUGAUCUUCAAGAUUAAACGGACAGUUGUUCUUGGGAUCCUCCCCCUUUAAUCCCCCCGGUAACAGGGGAGAGGGAUAUUUCUGGAAGCCUAGUAGGGGCUUUUCUAAGAGGUAGGAGGACUUGGAGAGCCCUUUGGAGCCUUUGAAAGAUUGGGCCACUUGGAAUAUCUUGGGGAAAUGACACUCAAACUUUGGGUGUCUCUGAGGCUGCAUUUCCUGGAGACUAUUCUGAGGGCAGCCAGACUUGAAAUUCCCUUUGGCUCUGAAGCAGUCUCUCUUGUCCCUGUCUUGCCUCACACGCGCUUCUUCAAAGUCACAAAGAGAAGCCCUGCAUCCUAGGGACCCAAGGAGGAUCUGGGGACCUGUGGAUGGGAUGUGUCUUUGACCAAUGGACAUUUUUUUAAGUGUGUCAGUUCCAGGCUGGUGUCUGGAAGCAGAUUGGCUCAACCAGGACCUGCCCUCAAGGAGCUCCCCGUCCUAGUUGAUUGGGGGGGGGGGGGGGGGCGGAGAGACAAAGACAGGAACUUGAACCUAUUGCAGUGGCCUAAUGGAGGUAGCAGGCAGGCUGAGCAGGGGAGCUAAAGCUACUGAGGCCUGCUUAGCAGAGGGGGCCCGCUCCAAGCAGCCCAGGCAAGGUGUCCUCUGACCAAGGGGACGCUGGACCAGGCUGGUAUCUGGGGUCCUCAAGGGGACCCUGGGCCAGUGGCCAGGAGAGCAGCGGUGCUGAGUCAUGCUGAACUCAGCGGUAAGGGUCUCAGGCAGAGAGGCGGGGUGGGGCCACUGACUGACCUCAUGUCCUGCCAGGCUGCUGACUGGCGGGGACCCUGGGAACUAGGCCUGGCUGGGAUCCAAGUCUGGCCCCCUCCCCCAGGGUGCCACCUUGAGUGUGCUUUGUCUCUGCAUCUUACGGUCUUUUCGAGUUCCUCGGGCCUGUGGCCAUAUUGUCUCCUCUCUGGGCGGUGACUCAGUCUCCCUUCACUAUCUUGUCUGACAGCUCUCCCCUGACUUGGUGUCUCUGGGGAGAGUCUAUGGGGGAGGGGCAGGUGCUCCAGGCACACAGUCACAAUGGGGCCUGAGUUACUCAUUCACCAAAUUUCAAACCUCAGCCUAAAGACCUUUAGCCUCCACCAGGCCCCACCUGCAGAGAGGGGUGACUUUGGAAAUGCUCACAGAUUUGCCGGCACAUGAAGUCUGGUCUCCUGUGACAGCCAGGGAGAGGGCUCAGUGACUCAGACUCCGAAGUGUGGCCUGAAAGAGGUUUAUUGCCCCCACCAGACCUCUCCUCCCCCACAUCCCCCCCCCCCAAUAAUUACAAAAGUAAGAAAAAUGCCCAUGGCCCCCAAUUCCCACCCCUCCCGGAAAAAUGCCAUAAUUUAUGCAGAAAAGACACAGUCCAAGGCAGCUGGUGGCCUCAGCCCAUCUUUUUCCAGAUGGUGAGUGACGCAGUCAGCACUCCGGCCACAAAGAUGGUCACUGUCUGCCACGUGGGUGUCCCAAAGUAGGAGAGGAGGCCGUCCUGCAGACAGAUCGCUGCGACUUUGGCUUUGAGGUCAUCCCCUCUCAGAAGUCUUUCCCGACCACUUUGCACAAUUACAUCACCACACUCAUCAGACAUCGUGGGCUCCACGAGAGCAAGGACCUAGCCUGCUUUGUUGGGUGCCGCUUCUUGGGUCAGGUACAUAGUAGGCCCAAUACAUGUCUGCUGCACGAGUAACUGAAGGAGCCAACAAACCAGCCCGUAGCCCUCUCCAUUCCCUUUGCGCUUAGUGGGCUGCCACAGGGGUUGACCUCACGACUCCCAGGUCCUCCUAGGUCUGAGCGGAGCAUCCCUGGGGGCUCACUGCCCGGCAGCCGCCCACCUUGAGCACCAGUUUGCUGGCAAAGUAGAAGAGGGCAACGACCCGGCCCCAGUUGAAGUUGCCAUCGGAAAACAUCUCCGCUGCCACUCGGAAAAAGACCUCGCGGGGGGAGUCUGUGUCCACAGCUGCGAUCAUCCUGCAGGAAAGAGGAAAGCCAGUGCUGCCGAGGGAAGACCAGGCAGGGCGUGGGGGAGACUCUGGGAUUCACCUCACACCAAAGACAAGGAUGCCGAGGCCCAAGUUAGGCUGUCAUGAAAAAGAACGGGCCAACAUGGGGGAAAGGGACGAGAUGGACAUUCAGGAAGGUGGGGAAAAUGACUCCCUGAGGGAGGGUGUCAGUUUCCUAGAGGAAGGGCGGGCUUCUCAGCCAGGGAGCUGGAUAGAGUGGUGGGGCCCUGGACGCCUGGGUCUGAGGGAGUAGCAGACUGUGGAUCUGACCUCCAGGCCCAGGGGAAGAGGGGCGUGAGAGCCAGGGCUCUGGGGAUGUGAGGGAGAAGGGGACCAGUGGCUGGAUUCCUGGGGCCCAGGGGCCACACCUCUGCAAUUCCAUGUUACUGUCCAGUUCAUCUCCGAUGCGCUUGAGACACUCGCUCAGCUUCUUGGUGGACGCAUCCUGGGGCACCUGCUCCAGGGCCAGCUCGGGUGUCUCUCCCCCCAUUCGCCCUGCUCGAUCUUGGAUGAAACUAGAGUGGGAAUGGAGUGUGGAGGGUGCAGAAUCAGAAUGGGGCAUCACUCCUCCAAUCCGCUCGGCAAUAAUCACACCUCAGACUCACCCCUGAAGCAAAAGGGCCCCUGUCUUCAUGAUCUGCUCAGAGCUGGUGGGCCCUAGAGGAGAAAGGAGGGAAGACGUGCCUGGACUCUUGGGUCCUAGGGGAUUCAGGGAACUAGGGUGGCACAUGAUCUCUGAGGGAGGACAACACUAGGGGGUCCUGCAUUUCUGGGUCCCUGGUAGAUACAGUGCCUAGGGGCCCGGGCAGCUGAGUCCCUGGUGGAGAUAAACGCAGGGAGCCUCGGCCAGUAUCCUGCGUUCUUCCGGCGGAGGAGGUUGAGGGAACGCUUCAUGCAUCCAGACCCCUGGCCUGAGGGGGCAGAGGAGAGACCCGCCCCUCCCACCAGGAAGUGGUGCCGGCGACAAGCCCGGGCCUGCCCCGGGGCUUGGGAUUCUGGGGUCUCCAGCUUCUCGGGGGUCCGAGAGCGCCAGGCAGAAAGGCAUCGGGACGCGGAGGCCAGAGAGCCGGGAACCCCCGGGGAGGGAGGGGGCUGGAAGCUGGCAGCGCCCGAUCCGGGAGUUUCUGCCCCGGAGUGCUUGGAGAUCGCACGGCCCCAAGACCGGCAGGAGGGAUCGUGGGGCCGGCCGGCGAGGGGGCUCGCCCUCCUCCCGCCCGUCUGCCUCCCGCCUCACCCCCGCCUCUGGGCUGCUCCCCGGACCCGUCCAUCACCGCCGCUCCCGCCGCCGCCUCUCGCCGGGUCCGCCCGGGCGGCCGCAGCACGCCCCUGGUCACGUGAGCGCCCCGCUGAACGUGCGUGCUCUCACGUGACCGCCCCGCAAAAUGGCGGCCCGCAGGCUGUCGCCCCGCAGGGCGGUUGGGUCACGUGACGGCACCUGCCUCACCUGCUUGGGGAGGCCGGGGCCCCUAUCACGUGACUAUCUAAUCUGCACCUACAGCCUUCUAGCUUGUGGGUCCACCGUCUGCAUGCAACACAUGGUUUCCAUCUCGCGGGGGAAGAGGACACGCCAAUGCCCGAACACAGCUCUACUCCAGUCCCAAGAAGGGAGAGGCUGAAAGGGAGGCCAUCCUCUUUGCCUAAAAAAGGCCAUAACUCAGAAGCUGCACACAUCCCAUUGGCCAGAACCCAUUCACGUGGUAAGACCUAGUUGCAAGGGAGCCUGGGAAAUGUAGUCUUUAGCUGGGCAGCCACAUGUCCAGUGAAAACUUUCCUAUCGUCCAUGAUUGAAGGGACAUCUAGCAGUGUUUGCCACACAAAAGAUUGAAACCAAGCAAACAGAGGGCUGAAGCCAAUGUAGUGAUACCUGAAUGAUGUAUAAAGAGACUUGGAAUAGAAAACGCAUUUGAUUGACAUCUAGUCCCUCUCGUGUGCCCACAGUGAGAAUCAUUCGUGCAAACCCAACAUAUCCAUCUCAAUCUUCUAGAACCUGGCAGCACUGAACUUCCUGGAUUCUCUGUGACUCACCAAGGUCAUGUGACUAGUUGUUGCCAGUGAAUUUCACGAGGUU
Molecule: long non-coding RNA, 4513 nt
Organism: Neofelis nebulosa (Clouded leopard)
Lineage: Eukaryota; Metazoa; Chordata; Mammalia; Carnivora; Felidae
Exons: 4
Source: RefSeq, a predicted model, not a curated record